GUGCGCCUGGUUGCCUGCCCUACUUUUUGUGUUGCAACUUUUUUCCCGCUUAUCUUCGUUUCUUAUUUCCUGCAAGCAAAGUUUCAUGACAGUCGUUCCACUUAGGCUUAAAGCAACCUUGAGUUGAAUACAGAGGAAAGCUGCACUGCAAGUUUUGCAACACAAGUCACUGUUUUUUCAGCCUUGCUUUUUAGAGAAGCCUGCCUAAUGUAUGGAAGAUGUUAUGUGCAUCAUAAAGGAGGGUGGGACAUGCAUGUGAACAUUUUCAAAUAUUUUUCAUAAAGGGUAUCAAUGGCAUCCAAUCUCUGACGUGUCAGCUACCUCACAUCAAUAUCACUUUCAUUCAACAAGUGUAACAGGGAAUAACAAAAAUUUUA
Molecule: long non-coding RNA, 377 nt
Filed under: Dermacentor andersoni
Lineage: Eukaryota; Metazoa; Arthropoda; Arachnida; Ixodida; Ixodidae
Description: uncharacterized LOC126544626
Source: RNAcentral